GACGAACCGUGCGAACGUUAUUCGGAAUCACUGGGCUUAAAGGGUGCGUAGGCGGGCUCGUGAGUCAGGGGUGAAAUCCCACGGCCCAACCGUGGAAGUGCCUCUGAUACCGCGGGCCUGGAGGGGGAUAGGGGCGUGCGGAACUUCCGGUGGAGCGGUGAAAUGCGUAGAUAUCAGGAGGAACACCGAUUGCGAAGGCAGCUCGCUGGGACGUAACUGACGCUGAGACGCGAAAGCGUGGGGAGCAAACAGG
RNAcentral lists this ribosomal RNA (253 nucleotides) under uncultured bacterium. RNAcentral's name for it is "partial 16S ribosomal RNA". It matches the Rfam family "Bacterial small subunit ribosomal RNA", at positions 524 to 776 of the family's 1533-position model. The record is from RNAcentral.